GAUGAACGCUGGCGGCGUGCUUAACACAUGCAAGUCGAACGGAAAGGCUCCUGCUUGCAGGGGUACUCGAGUGGCGAACGGGUGAGUAACACGUGGGCGAUCUGCCCUGCACUUCGGGAUAAGCCUGGGGAACUGGGUCUAAUACCGGAUAGGACGAUGGGUUGGAUGCGAUUGUGGAAAGCUAUUCGGUGUGGGAUGAGCGCGCGGCCUAUAAGCUAGUUGGUGGGGUAAUGGCCUACCAAGGGGUCGGCGGGUAGCCGGCCUGAGAGGGGGUACGGCCACAAUGGGACUGAGAUAGGGCGCAGACUCCUACGGGAGGCAGCAGGGGCGAAUAUUGCACAAUGGGCGCAAGCCUGAUGCAGCGACGCCGCGUGGGGGAUGACGGCCUUCGGGUUGUAAACUGCUUUCGCUAGAGACGGAGCGCUAGUGACGGUACCUGGAGAAGAAGCACCGGCUAACUACGUG
This 465-nucleotide ribosomal RNA is filed under the name uncultured bacterium. RNAcentral describes it as "partial 16S ribosomal RNA". It matches the Rfam family "Bacterial small subunit ribosomal RNA", at positions 28 to 507 of the family's 1533-position model. The record is from RNAcentral.